RNAcentral lists this ribosomal RNA (318 nucleotides) under Nitrososphaerota archaeon. RNAcentral's name for it is "bacterial SSU rRNA". It matches the Rfam family "Archaeal small subunit ribosomal RNA", at positions 1 to 293 of the family's 1478-position model. The record is from RNAcentral. Lineage: Archaea; Thermoproteati; Nitrososphaerota.
ACUCCGGUUGAUCCUGCCGGACCCGACUGCUAUCGGAUUGGGAUUUAGCCAUGUUAGUUGUGCGUCCCUUGGCUACAGGGGACGCGGCGUACGGCUCAGUAACACGUAGUCAACCUGCCCUGGAGAUGCGGACAAACCCGGGAAACUGGGGCCUAUCCGCAAUAGAUGGCCUCAUCUGGAAGGAGAGGCCGUCGAAAGGGCGCACGGGUAUGCUCUGUGCGUACCGCUCCAGGAUGGGACUGCGGCCGAUCAGGCUGUUGGCGGGGCAAUGGCCCACCAAACCUGUAACCGGUACGGGCUUUGAGAGAAGGAGCCCGG